UUGGAGGGCAAGUCUGGUGCCAGCAGCCGCGGUAAUUCCAGCUCCAAUAGCGUAUAUUAAAGUUGUUGCGGUUAAAAAGCUCGUAGUUGAACCUUGGGCCUGGCUGGCCGGUCCGCCUCACCGCGUGUACUGGUCCGGCCGGGCCUUUCCCUCUGUGGAACCCCAUGCCCUUCACUGGGUGUGGCGGGGAAACAGGACUUUUACUGUGAAAAAAUUAGAGUGCUCCAGGCAGGCCUAUGCUCGAAUACAUUAGCAUGGAAUAAUAGAAUAGGA
RNAcentral lists this ribosomal RNA (273 nucleotides) under uncultured Ascomycota. RNAcentral describes it as "partial 18S ribosomal RNA". It matches the Rfam family "Eukaryotic small subunit ribosomal RNA", at positions 548 to 827 of the family's 1831-position model. Lineage: Eukaryota; Fungi; Ascomycota. The record is from RNAcentral.